RNAcentral lists this ribosomal RNA (497 nucleotides) under uncultured bacterium. RNAcentral describes it as "partial 16S ribosomal RNA". It matches the Rfam family "Bacterial small subunit ribosomal RNA", at positions 28 to 507 of the family's 1533-position model. The record is from RNAcentral.
GACGAACGCUGGCGGCGUGCCUAAUACAUGCAAGUCGAGCGGACGAAUCGAAAGCUUGCUUUUGAUUCGUUAGCGGCGGACGGGUGAGUAACACGUGGGCAACCUGCCCUGUAGACGGGGAUAACACCGAGAAAUCGGUGCUAAUACCGGAUAACACGAAAUGUCGCAUGACGUUUCGUUGAAAGACGGCGCAAGCUGCCGCUACAGGAUGGGCCCGCGGCGCAUUAGCUAGUUGGUGAGGUAACGGCUCACCAAGGCGACGAUACGUAGCCGACCUGAGGGGUGAUCGGCCACACUGGGACUGAGACACGGCCCAGACUCCUACGGGAGGCAGCAGUAGGGAAUCUUCCGCAAUGGACGAAAGUCUGACGGAGCAACGCCGCGUGAGCGAAGAAGGCCUUCGGGUCGUAAAGCUCUGUUGUUAGGGAAGAACAAGUAACGCAGUAACUGGCGUUACCGUGACGGUACCUAACGAGAAAGCCACGGCUAACUACGUG